AGCCAGAAUGAGUUGUUGAAAGGAAGGCUUGCUCUUGAUGCUCUAACGUCCUUAUAUCUUUGUCCAAACCUCUAUAUCAAACAGAAACUCAUUCCAGGGGCCAGUGAGGGUGGGGAGAGUAGAAGAGACCCCGGGCAGCUAGCUUCUCCUACAGGGAAUUUCUCCAUUCUUCCUUUCCUGUCAGCCCUCCCAGCUGGAGCUCCAGCUUGGCUCUGGCAAGGAGCAGGGAGAGAGGAGCAAGGGUCAAAUACUGAGACUUGUGACGGACAGAGGACUGGGGACCUGAGCGACACUCCCAGAGAUAGAGACUGACUGAUGUGAAGGAAGAGAUGGGGGUGCUUGGAUGGCUGGGAGAUGGAGGGAUAAGGACAUAGAUUUCUGCUGAGAGAAGGACAGGCCCUUUUCCAGAAACAGCUGGAGAAGCGACCAUCUCGCCUUCCACUCAGGAUGUUCCUGGGAGGGCCUGCCUUGGCUUCAGGAGAUUCUCCUGCAUGGACCUUGGCUGACUUCAUGGCCUCUCUGUUCUCCCCUCCCAGGGCUCCUCGCUGCUCCAGCUCUGGCCCCUCCUCCUCUCCCUGAUUAGCACUUGGCAUGAAUGGAUGGGGCCACUUCCCAUACCCAUUCCCAACUCCAUACUCUUUUCCUCCUGGUUUUUCAUGCAGACAUUCCCCAUGCCAGGUGAAAAAGACGGGCACUUCUGAGUCAGCACAGCUGAGAAGCCAGAGCAUCUGGGAAGAAGACUGGAUGAACAGUCCAGGUGAGAGACCUAGACCUGACGUUGAACCCUAGGGGAUGAAGCCUGGGAAGAGCAGAGAGGACCCAAAGGAGGAGCCGGCAGUCAUUAGGAGAUGAAGAAAGUUACCCUUAUCCCCCAUCAUCAUUCUGAAAGACCCAAGUCAAAGUGUUUGUGUGUGCAUGGAGAGAGCAGAGCAAACACUGAAUUAUAUCUAUAGUGUCCAAGAGCC
Camelus dromedarius (Arabian camel) is the source of this 965-nucleotide long non-coding RNA. RefSeq lists it as uncharacterized. Lineage: Eukaryota; Metazoa; Chordata; Mammalia; Artiodactyla; Camelidae. The transcript has 4 exons. The record is from RefSeq and is a predicted model, not a curated record.